Molecule: ribosomal RNA, 429 nt
Filed under: uncultured bacterium
Lineage: Bacteria
Description: bacterial SSU rRNA
Rfam family: Bacterial small subunit ribosomal RNA
Source: RNAcentral
AGGAACGCGAAGAACCUUACCAGGUCUUGACAUCUUUUGAUCACCUGAGAGAUCAGGUUUCCCCUUCGGGGGCAAAAUGACAGGUGGUGCAUGGUUGUCGUCAGCUCGUGUCGUGAGAUGUUGGGUUAAGUCCCGCAACGAGCGCAACCCUUAUGACUAGUUGCCAGCAUUUAGUUGGGCACUCUAGUAAGACUGCCGGUGACAAACCGGAGGAAGGUGGGGAUGACGUCAAAUCAUCAUGCCCCUUAUGACCUGGGCUACACACGUGCUACAAUGGAUGGUACAACGAGUUGCGAGACCGCGAGGUCAAGCUAAUCUCUUAAAGCCAUUCUCAGUUCGGACUGUAGGCUGCAACUCGCCUACACGAAGUCGGAAUCGCUAGUAAUCGCGGGAUCAGCACGCCGCGGUGAAUACGUUCCCGGGUCUUGU